CACAACUCUCCGACUUCCAACCCGUGUUAGUCCAAGGAGUCCCACGUUCUCUCUGAAAUAGACGACAUAAGAUCUUUGUCAAGCAUAUGCUGAUCGCAGUACGGACGCAAACAAAAGUUGUCACCAUAAAUAGCCAGGUGGAACAUGCGUUCUUACACAGAAACUGUAGAGCCAGUGCCAGUUCCAAAAAGACCAUCUAGUAAGAUUCCAAUCCCCUGCCAAAUGAAAACAUCUCAGCAAGACACUAAUAAUCCAAGCAUUCAGUUGGGUCAAGCAGAAUACUGAGAAGAUCACUCUGAACCUUUACAUCUUUGUAAAUU
Long non-coding RNA from Rhodamnia argentea, 320 nucleotides. RefSeq lists it as uncharacterized. Lineage: Eukaryota; Viridiplantae; Streptophyta; Magnoliopsida; Myrtales; Myrtaceae. The record is from RefSeq and is a predicted model, not a curated record. The transcript is spliced from 2 exons.